UACGUAGGGGGCUAGCGUUGUCCGGAAUUACUGGGCGGAAAGGGCGCGUAGGCGGUGCUCUAAGUCGGAUGUGAAAACUCUGGGCUCAACCCAGAGCCUGCAUCCGAAACUGGAGUGCUAGAGUUCUGGAGGGGGUAGCGGAAUUCCUGGUGUAGCGGUGAAAUGCGUAGAUAUCAGGAGGAACACCGGUGGCGAAGGCGGCAUCCUGGACCAACACUGACGCUGAGGAGCGAAAGCCAGGGGAGCAAACGGG
This 253-nucleotide ribosomal RNA is filed under the name uncultured bacterium. RNAcentral describes it as "partial 16S ribosomal RNA". It matches the Rfam family "Bacterial small subunit ribosomal RNA", at positions 524 to 776 of the family's 1533-position model. The record is from RNAcentral.